UCAGAGUAACAUGUGGUAUAAUAUACCCUUCCCAUGAUGGAGCAUGGCUUUUUAUUUUGCUGAAAUGGCUUUCCAUUUUUCAUUUUAUUUGACUAGAGAGCUGUUCUUUCUGAAAAUGACCUAGAUGAUUUAGUAGACUAUAAGCUCACUAUGAGACAACAGUGUGGUUUCUCUCUGCUUAGACUUGUAAUAUGGCAGCCCCAAAUUGCUGCUACUUUAAGAGAGAGAAUAUCCAAAACAUGAGAAGUGAUGGUCCUCUUGCCCUCUGUUCUGGAUGCACCACAUCUAGAGUGUUGUGCUCAUGUUCAGGGGAUAUCAGGGAAUGAUACAUGUAAAAACAAAAGAGACAGUGAGGGUUCAGAUUGCAGUGAAAGCUUUAAUAGCAAAUGAAGGAGUUUAUGUCUUUGAUCUUUGAAUUAAUAGGGAUUUAUUAAAGGGUGAGAGAGAGAGAGAGAGAGAGAGAGAGAGAGAGAGAGAGAAAGAGAGAGAGAGAGAGACAGACACAGAAAUAUAAACAGAUGGAGACAGUGACAAAAAGAGAAAUAGAUAAGACACAGAGAGAAACUGAAAUAGAGAGACAGAGGCAGAGAAAGAGAAACAAAGAUAGAGAUGUGGUAUGAACUAUGCUUGUCAGUUCUCUUAGUUCUGUGAUAUUGGAACAUGCUAUUUUUUCUAUGUCUCAGUGCCUCAUUCCAUCCACAAAAGAGACUGUAAAGUCUUUGAGGUGUGGUCUGGUUCUUGUGUCCUAUUUUUGCAUCUCCUUCGCUUGCCUCAGACGGUGCCUUGUAUUUGGCAAAGGCUUAAUAUUUGUUGGAUGGAAUUGUUAUAAAUAGGAAUGGGCAUAGGAAUACUUAUGUGACCUUGGUUGAGUCACUUCAUCAUGCCAAUUAAGAGAUGAAGAAACUGUGUCUGAGAGAAAUGAUGGUCACACAGCUUAUAUAUGUGAGAGCCAGGAUUCGAAUUCAGUCUGACUUCCAACCUCGUCAUUCAACGCAAACUGCUCUCUCCAAAGGGGAAGAGGCUCACUUGCUAUCAUCUCUCCAAGAUUAAAGUGAAAAGGCCAGGCAUCUGAGAUUGGUACUGGAUUAACAUGAGGGCUAGCUGAGAAGAGUCAUGGCCACCAUUAUCUUGGAGACGUUAGAAAGGAUGGAUCAAAAGUUCAUGGGACCAGUGCUGGAAAGGGCCUCAGAGGUCAUCCAAUCCAACCCUUUCUUUAUACAGAUGAGGAAACUGAGGCCCACGGAAGCCAAGUGACUUGUCUAAGAUUUUAAUCCCCCAAAAUGUAAGCUCAUUUUGGAUUUUAACCACAAAAAGGUGUGAACACCCAUUUCAUACAUUGAGGGGAAGUCUGUGAAAGUGACACAAGAGAAAAAGGUCUUUAAAAGUGGAAACACAGACACACACAGUCACUUGGAGUGGACACAGUCACUUGGAAUGAAGUCUGUGAAAGUGACACAAGAGAAAAAGGUCUUUAAAAGUGGAAACACAGACACACACAGUCACUUGGAGUGGACACAGUCACUUGGAAUGAAGAGAGUCACUUGGAGUUUGAAAGAGACACACUCAGAGUGGAGACUGAUGGAGCUGAGGCUCAUAAAAGAAUCUGCUGAUUGAACUGACAUGUGGGAAAGCAGACUUCAAAGGAUCCAGCAAAUGGGUAGGACUCCAGGAACUUGCUAAAGAACACGUAAACCCAGAAGGAGGGGAAAUUCUCAAGGCUGGAAUUCCGAAGCCAUGAAGAGAUGAAAGAUCAACUUGGGAGGAAAAGGAGGAGCUAGCUGUCCAAACAGACUGAUGGAUUGGCACAAGGUUUUGCAACUGUGGAGGAAUAAUGGCAUCAAGUGAGAGUUUUUAAAGUGCAUAAAGAAGGAGGGAUCUAAGGAAGGGUUUUGUUCAGUGGUUGCACAUAAGUAUGUAAUAAUAAUUGUUUGAUUAUUAGUGAUUUGGAUGAAGAUGUAAAUGAAAAGCUUAUCAAAUGAGCAGAUGACAAGAAAACCUUUUGGAUGAGAGGGAAGAAAUGGAGUCAGAGGAGGUGAAUCAACUUCACAGGCACACACAGCUGAUAAGGUGGAUAUAUAGCUAUAACCAAGCGCUCAAGAUCUUUACCAUCUACAUGUGCAGUGUUGGGCUCUUCUCUGUCCCUUCAGGGUCUCAGUUUUCUGAUCUGUGAAAUGAAGGCACUAGACCACGUGCUCACUAAAGUCUGUUUCCAUGGUAAAAUUUUAUGAUUUUGUAUAACGAAACAGAUGGGGUAAGAGAAAGAGCUUACCUGAAUGACAAUGAUCUGAAUUCUUGGAAUCGAAGACUUGCUCAUUCUAGUUUUGGAUAGCUCUAGUUUGCUUUUCUUUUAGUCUUAGUAACUUCAGACCAAUUUCGAAUGGCGAGGGCUAGGCAGUUUGGGUUAAGUGACUUGCCCCCAGGGUCAUAUAACUAUAAAGAGUCUGAGGCCAGAUUUGAACUCGGGUCCUUCCAGCUUUAGGUCUAGAAAUCUUUCCACUUUUACCUAGUUGUCCCUAGUUCCCUUACAAUAUUGAUCUGCCAUGCUACAACAUCUACCUAUUAGAACUAUUUCAAUCCUCUUGGGGCAAACAUAUUCAGUCUAGUUUCUCUAUGAAUGACACCUUAAAUAGUUGAAGACAGACAUCAUCACCGACUCAUUCUCUCCAAUGUUGCCAAGAGAACCUCAGAAAUACAUGUUUUUCAGAUCAUUUACCAUCUUGGCCCUGCUUCCUUAAGACACACUCCAAUGAGCAUUGGGUCCUGUAUCCCAGGGACAGACUUGCACUUAGGGAAAAGACAUAAAGAACAUUUUUAAUUGAUUAUGACAAUAAACUAAUCAUGACAACAAAGAACAUGAAUUUGAAACUUUGAAGUUGGACUUAAGCUUAACUUAGUGUUUUAAAAAAUAAAAAUGCAAAAUCCUGCCCAGCAUCCUCCCAGCUAGUCCCACAAGGUACUGAAGGGGAAGGAGUUGUAGACCAGGAAUCUCAUAUUUCUAUACAUCAUGGUUUAAUAUAUGUUGACAAGCUGAAGAGUAUCCAAAGGAGGAAAGGUGACCAAGUUGGUGGAUGUCCUUGAACUCAUGCUAUAUGAGGCAUAUGAGGAGAGUCACUCUUGGGAUAAAGGUAUAGGAGGUAGCUGUGCCUGGAACAUUGUAGGUACUUAAUAAAAAUUUCUUGGUUGACUACAAGUACUUUGAAGGACUAUCUUGUGGGAGAGGGGUUAGAUUGGUUCAGUAUGGCCAAGAUGACAGAACCAGGAACGAUGGGAGGGAAGUACAAAGAAACAACUUUAAAAUUGUUUCACAAAAAAACUUCCUAAUAUUUUGAGUCCUCCCAAAGUAUAAUGGGCCGCCAUGGAGGUCAUAGCCUUACCUCUUCACGGGAUUUGGUUAAGCAAAAACUGGAUGCCCCCUUGCUGGAUAUACUGUAGAGAGGGGAUUCCAGUUCAGGUGAAGUUUAGACUAGGGGUUCCAAACAGUUCUUAAAAAUUGUUGU
Molecule: non-coding RNA, 3497 nt
Organism: Monodelphis domestica (gray short-tailed opossum)
Lineage: Eukaryota; Metazoa; Chordata; Mammalia; Didelphimorphia; Didelphidae
Source: RefSeq, a predicted model, not a curated record